AAUGGGGGAAACCCUGACGCAGCAACGCCGCGUGAAGGAAGAAGGCCUUCGGGUUGUAAACUUCUUUGAUGAGGGACGAACAAAUGACGGUACCUCAAGAACAAGCCACGGCUAACUACGUGCCAGCAGCCGCGGUAAUACGUAGGUGGCAAGCGUUGUCCGGAAUUACUGGGUGUAAAGGGCGUGUAGGCGGGGAUGUAAGUCAGAUGUGAAAUACCACGGCUCAACUGUGGGGGUGCAUCUGAAACUAUGUCUCUUGAGUGCUGGAGAGGAAAGCGGAAUUCCUAGUGUAGCGGUGAAAUGCGUAGAUAUUAGGAGGAACACCAGUGGCGAAGGCGGCUUGCUGGACAAAUACUGACGCUGAGGUGCGAAAGCGUGGGGAGCAAA
RNAcentral lists this ribosomal RNA (387 nucleotides) under uncultured bacterium. Its description in RNAcentral is "bacterial SSU rRNA". It matches the Rfam family "Bacterial small subunit ribosomal RNA", at positions 370 to 772 of the family's 1533-position model. The record is from RNAcentral.